CUAAACGACCUUUCACUGGAAAUACACCAGAACAAGAACUACAACAUAAACCCCCUUCAUCGCCUGAGCUCCUUACCACGGAGAGCGUUCAUCAAGCAUAAUCGAGAUCUCGUCCGAAAAGCACCAAACCCUCGAGAGUCAUGACGGUAACAAGCCACCACCAACUUCAAGCUUUAUCUUUUUGGAGUUCCCUUUUUUUGUUUGUUUAACCCCAUAGCAUUCCGUUAUCAUCUAUUACAUCAAUAAUAUGGUUUUGUUCAUUGCCUAAUUAAUGUGUUCAUCAAGGUUCUUAAUCUAAACUUGUGGCCUUUUCUAUCAGUAGGUGGAUUAUGAGAUCUUUGGACUGCGAAAACGGAGACUUCUUUUCUCCCACUUUCUUUUCUUUAUUUAUAAACCCA
RNAcentral lists this long non-coding RNA (398 nucleotides) under Brassica napus (rape). RNAcentral's name for it is "long non-coding RNA (BNAP_LNC002702)". Lineage: Eukaryota; Viridiplantae; Streptophyta; Magnoliopsida; Brassicales; Brassicaceae. The record is from RNAcentral.